Molecule: ribosomal RNA, 949 nt
Filed under: Alexandrium fundyense
Lineage: Eukaryota; Dinophyceae; Gonyaulacales; Pyrocystaceae
Description: eukaryotic LSU rRNA
Rfam family: Eukaryotic large subunit ribosomal RNA
Source: RNAcentral
CUUAGCAUGAAGUGAAGCACAUACACCUGCUGAAUUUAAGCAUAUAAGUAAGUGGUGGAAAUUAAACCAAAUGGGAUAUCUUUAGUAAUUGCGAAUGAACAAGGAUAUGCUUAGCUUGACAAAUGGAGCUAUUGGCUUUGAAUUGUAUUUGUGGAAUGUAUUACCAACAGAGGUGCAGGUGCCAGCCUAUUGAAAUAAAGCGUCAAUGAGGGCGAGAAUCCUGUUUGUCAUGUGCAGCCCUUUGUGCACGGUGUAUAUUUGCUGAGUCACACUCCUUGGCAUUGGAAUGCAAAGUGGGUGGUAAGUUUCAUGUAAAGGUAAACAUGCAAUUGAGACUGAUAGCACACAAGUACCAUGAGGGAAAUAUGAAAAGGACUUUGAAAAGAGAAUUAAAUGAGUUUGUAUUUGCGGAACACAAAGUAAACAGACUUGAUUUGCUUGGUGGGAGUGUUGCACUUGCUUGACAAGAGCUUUGGGCUGUGGGUGUAAUGAUUCUUUCUUUGCAUGCCAGUUUCUAUUUGUACAUCUGAUUACCUUUGCACAUGAAUGAUAAGUCUCCUGUGGGGGGUGGAUUGCAUGUGCAUGUAAUGAUUUGUGUUUUGAUAAAUGUGUCUGGUGUAUGUGUGUGUUCCUGUGCUUGGGGAUGCUUCCUUCCUUGGACUUACAAGCCCUGACACACACAUGCUGGCAAAAUGCUUCUGCUUGACCCGUCUUGAAACACGGACCAAGGAGUCUAACAGAUGUGCAAAGUUUGAAGGUGGUAUACCUUUGUGUGCAAUGAAAGUGUCAGCUGGGAUAUGUGCACCAGCACCCAAUUAAUUAGCGGACAGAGGUUUGAGUUGGAGCAUAUCUAUUAGGACCCGAAAGAUGGUGAACUAUGCCUGAACAGAAUGAAUUCAGAGGAAACUCUGAUGGAGGUUCGUAUCGAUACUGACGUGCAAAUCGUUCG